RNAcentral lists this RNase P RNA (384 nucleotides) under Bacteroidales bacterium. Its description in RNAcentral is "RNase P RNA component class A". It matches the Rfam family "Bacterial RNase P class A". From Rfam's summary of the family: Ribonuclease P (RNase P) is a ubiquitous endoribonuclease, found in archaea, bacteria and eukarya as well as chloroplasts and mitochondria. Its best characterised activity is the generation of mature 5'-ends of tRNAs by cleaving the 5'-leader elements of precursor-tRNAs. The record is from RNAcentral. Lineage: Bacteria; Pseudomonadati; Bacteroidota; Bacteroidia; Bacteroidales.
UCAACAGCCCGGUCUGUCGCGGUGAUGACCGCAAGGUUUGUCAACGAGGAAAGUCGGGACAACAGAGAGCGCCGUACUUCCUAACGGGAAGGGUCCGCCCUUUGGCGGAAACAGCAAGUGCCACAGAAAAUAACUUCCCUCUUACGCCAAGGCUUCGGAGGGUAAAGGUGAAAAUGUGGGGUAAGAGCCCACGGGUGAAUAUGGUGACAUAUUCAUCGGGUAAACCUUACGGGUUGAAAGAUCAUGUAUACCGGGGAUUCAUCAGAUGAUGGAGAAGGGCUGCUCGUCCGGUCCCGGGGGGUUGGUCGUUACAUCCUGAUGGUGACAUCAGGAGUAGAUAAAUGACAGAUUAAACAGAAUCCCGCUUAUGAGGCUGUUGAUACU